CUGGGCGUAGCCAAGUGGUAUGGCGCUUGAUUUGGGUUCAAGAUCCCGGGAGUUCGAUUCUCUCCGCCCAGACCA
RNAcentral lists this transfer RNA (75 nucleotides) under Lachnospiraceae bacterium. RNAcentral's name for it is "tRNA-Pro". It matches the Rfam family "tRNA". Rfam says of the family: Transfer RNA (tRNA) molecules are approximately 80 nucleotides in length. Lineage: Bacteria; Bacillati; Bacillota; Clostridia; Lachnospirales; Lachnospiraceae. The record is from RNAcentral.